GACGAACGCUGGCGGCGUGCUUAACACAUGCAAGUCGAACGGAAAGGCCCUGCUUUUGUGGGGUGCUCGAGUGGCGAACGGGUGAGUAACACGUGAGUAACCUGCCCUUGACUUUGGGAUAACUUCAGGAAACUGGGGCUAAUACCGGAUAGGAGCUCCUGCUGCAUGGUGGGGGUUGGAAAGUUUCGGCGGUUGGGGAUGGACUCGCGGCUUAUCAGCUUGUUGGUGGGGUAGUGGCUUACCAAGGCUUUGACGGGUAGCCGGCCUGAGAGGGUGACCGGCCACUUGGGGGGGGGGACGGCCCCAGGGGUCCCCCGGGAGGGAUGGGUGGGGAAUAUGGCCAAAAGGCCGGGGGGCGGCUGCAGAAACGCCGGUGGGGGGAGGGGGGGAGGCGGGUUGAAAAACGGUUUCGCCUGGGACGACGCCUUGGGGGUGGUAAUGGGUAAAGACCAACCGGCAACCUUGG
Molecule: ribosomal RNA, 466 nt
Filed under: uncultured bacterium
Lineage: Bacteria
Description: partial 16S ribosomal RNA
Rfam family: Bacterial small subunit ribosomal RNA (bases 13-373)
Source: RNAcentral